This 102-nucleotide ribosomal RNA is filed under the name Cebus imitator (Panamanian white-faced capuchin). Lineage: Eukaryota; Metazoa; Chordata; Mammalia; Primates; Cebidae. The record is from RNAcentral.
GUUUAUGGCCAUACCACCCUGAACACGACCAAUCUCAUCUCAUCUCAGAAACUAAGCAGGUUUUGGCCUGGUUAGUACUUGCAUGGAAGGUGUUCUUAUACA